GGACUUACAUCUCCAUGGCAAGACCUACCACCCCAAUCAUGCAGGAGCAUGCUUCAGUGGGACGGUGCGGGUAUGAAGACACUUGGUGGGAAGAGCUACUGCAUCUGCAAAUUGGGAAUUACCACUGCCUAGCCUCCAUAAAAAUCUCUCACCUAGUAUGGUUUGCUGGCUAGGACCUUCUCAGUAGUGACUCUAGCUGCUGACGCUUGAAGGAAAAUAGCAGUCCUGUGCUCAUGAGGAAAGGCUGAUCUGUGCAUGAGAUGGAAUUAUAUGUAGGCAAAAUGAUGACACAUAUUUUAAAAAAAGUAUUUCUGAGUAUUACUGAACUGAUGUAGUUAAAGCAGCAAUUUUUUUCCAGUUGCCUUGCUUUCUGUUGGUGACUUCAGACAUGCUUGCUCAGCCCUGAAAUAGUGACUUGUCAUUUAUUCAAGGCUAAUAUAAUUAAUUCUCAGUCCUCCACUCUUGCUCUAGCUAGAAAAUAUAGGGAAUCUUCAGUAAAUCUUAAAAACAGGCAAAUAGUGAAGGUCCAGGGGAGAUCAUGUGAUCCAACAAAGUUUAAUGAAUGUAACUUCUAUGAGACUUGGCUGUGCUGCUCCGUGGUCUGAAACGUGUUUAUGUAAUCACACACAGACGUACUGAAUCGCAUUAGAUAGGGAAGUAGUCUUCACAUCCUUCAGUCUGGAAAAACGUCUGUUUCCAGAACAAACCACAUUAAGUUCCAUGUGCUCAAUUUUGUGAAUUGAUUCAAAUCAUAAGUAUGCUUAACAUGUACACACAUUGAUAUAUUUAUAUUUAAUUCUCAGAGUUCAUACAGUUUCAACUGAGUGUCCGCAAGAUUAGUCAUACAGACCCAGAAAAGUUAGACAUCUAAUUCCUCUUCAGCCUGGGCCUGGAAAGUACCUCUGAUGUUUUUAAUUCAAAAAUAAGAAUUCAGGGAAUUUACAGUUAAGAUGUCUCUUCACUCUGUCACUUCUCUAUGCAGCAUACUGUGGUGGUCUUUUAACAAUGGAUUAUUUAAUUUUGGAUUAGAAAUGUGCUGAAUCUUUCAGUGCAGUGGAUGCUUUGAAGGAAGUGUUAGAUGAGACCACAAUUAAUAGUAUCUUAGUGGGGGGGGGGGAAGGCAAGCUUCAGCAUUAUCUGAGAUAGGAAUAAUUAGAGAACUUGAAAAAUAUUGUCAGUGUACACUUUUUAUUGAUCAGCUUUUAAGUAUGUUUUAAUUUCCUAAAACACCACCAUCCAUAGUGCAUUGCUAAAGCAUGUGUUGCAAUGUGAAGAACAGCUCCAGCAAUGCACGGGGAAAAAAAAAGUGCUCUCUGGAGUUUGACUUUUUGCUCAUUUGCUAUAUACGGUCUAUCCAAAGUCCAGUGCUCAUGUGGAGGGGAUCUGUUCAGAACAGGAUGCAGAGGAAUCUGAGCAAAUAACGACAUCACCCACAGUCGGAAAACACGCUGUUCUCCGGAGCAACUUCAGACACAUCAGAAGUCCCACUGAAAGAAGGCAGCCCUAUCCAUAAAACCACGACAUCUUUGUUCCAUUGCAGUGCUUCUGCCCUCAUCCAGUCUCCUCUGGCCUCCUGCUAUGUAUUUACAGCAGCAGCACACGACGUCUUACGAACCAUAAACUCCUCUGAAACCUGGAAAGCUCUCAAGGCAGAAAGCAGUUUUUUCCAUGCAGAGUGUCUCUCUCCCUGGCUUGGCCUCGUGCUGCUUGGACCUGAGCUUAUCCUAACUCUUCUGCAGCACAGCAGUUUGCUGAAAAGGUUCUCUAAGAAACAGCAUUUGUUUGUGGGGUGUUGAGGAAAGACUGGAUGAGCUUUGGCACCACGAACCACUGAAACUUUUCCAAGAGGUGCUGCGUCCACAGUGGGAUGGGGAACACGUAUGUCCCCAAAGUAGAAGUGGUGUGAGACGGAAGCUUGAACCAAACAAAACUGAAAAAAAAGUCCCUUCCAAAAUACAAUAUAGGACCUGUAAUAUUAACUGGAUGGUAGAGAAUUUGGAUAUUUUUAGUUAAUGAAACCUCUUGCUUGAUGGUAAGAUUGUGUCGUUUAUGUCUGCACAAUAACAGCCCCAAUGCAGAACAUAUGAAUGCCAUAUGGCUGGAACUGUUCCAUUAAUGAUCUGAUGCUUUCAUUGUUCUGAAUUUGAUUUUGUAGCUUUUUGCUUAUAAUGAUUUGAUCGCACCAUUAAAAACCUUCAAUAAC
Long non-coding RNA from Grus americana (Whooping crane), 2203 nucleotides. RefSeq lists it as uncharacterized. The record is from RefSeq and is a predicted model, not a curated record. The transcript is spliced from 3 exons. NCBI's taxonomy places the organism in Eukaryota, Metazoa, Chordata, Aves, Gruiformes, Gruidae.